RNAcentral lists this long non-coding RNA (249 nucleotides) under Carica papaya (papaya). RNAcentral's name for it is "long non-coding RNA (CPAP_LNC014927)". The record is from RNAcentral. Lineage: Eukaryota; Viridiplantae; Streptophyta; Magnoliopsida; Brassicales; Caricaceae.
UAAAGAAAUUCGUCAGCUAUCGAUUGGCCUAGGUAAGUCUAUUCACAAUCCCAUUCUCGAAACCCUUCACAUCAAAAUUUAUGUCCUGAAACUUAUACAUGCCAUUGACUGGGAAAACUUUUCGCUAUCGAUAUACCAACCUACAUGGAACUAGUUAGGGAGUUUUACAAGACCUUCCAGUUUCACAAACCCACUCAGUUCAACCUCCGAUCCCCAAAUCUAAUUUCCUAGCAACUAUGGGGAUAGGUU